Molecule: ribosomal RNA, 450 nt
Filed under: uncultured bacterium
Lineage: Bacteria
Description: bacterial SSU rRNA
Rfam family: Bacterial small subunit ribosomal RNA
Source: RNAcentral
AACGAACGCUGGCGGCAUGCCUAACACAUGCAAGUCGAACGAGACCUUCGGGUCUAGUGGCGCACGGGUGCGUAACGCGUGGGAAUCUGCCCUUGGGUUCGGAAUAACUUCGGGAAACUGAAGCUAAUACCGGAUGAUGACGUAAGUCCAAAGAUUUAUCGCCCAAGGAUGAGCCCGCGUAGGAUUAGCUAGUUGGUGAGGUAAAGGCUCACCAAGGCGACGAUCCUUAGCUGGUCUGAGAGGAUGAUCAGCCACACUGGGACUGAGACACGGCCCAGACUCCUACGGGAGGCAGCAGUGGGGAAUAUUGGACAAUGGGCGAAAGCCUGAUCCAGCAAUGCCGCGUGAGUGAUGAAGGCUUAGGGUUGUAAAGCUCUUUUACCCGGGAUGAUAAUGACAGUACCGGGAGAAUAAGCUCCGGCUAACUCCGUGCCAGCAGCCGCGGUAAUG